CGCACUACUAAAAAUUUUCUUGAAUGCUUCUUAUGUAAAAACUAUGCUUCGUAUGGAAUAAAGGCCCUUUUAUUACUACGAGGAUUCUACAAGACCUCCGAAGGGUCAAGUACGGCGUGUGACGAAUCAAGAGUGGUCUUUUUCUUCUAGGGUGUACUUGCAGGUCGUUAAAAAUAAUGACUGAACUGAUGGAUAAAUAUUGUGGAAUUGGUGGUGAAAUUUUGAAGGAGGAACUUGGAAGCUAUUGAGAUUGCUUAUGGUAUCUUUUCUAGUUAACUUGAUUAUAUGGGGUCAGGACGCUUCACAUGAGCAUUGCACUUAUAGGCUUCGGAGGUGAUUAUGAGUUCGUUCCAUUGAAGGUUUAAAGGCCAUGUGGAAGGAAGACUUGAAACUUUUCCCAAGUUAUUGAUUAGUCCUCAAGUCCGGGGAUGAUACCACUUUUCUACUUUAGCUAUGAUAUCAACUAUGUAUAGAAAAAUUAUUCUUUCCUUAUCAUUGACACUUUGUUGUAAGCCAAUAUGUGGCACAUUGUUAUAGCAUAAGGGCUAUGCCAAAUCUUAUAUUCUAUGCUAGAUGGUUCAUGUUUGACACAAAUAUUAGACUACUUUAUAUGUUUUGUCUAUAUUCCAUAAAUGAGAAGUCUAU
Molecule: long non-coding RNA, 645 nt
Organism: Solanum pennellii
Lineage: Eukaryota; Viridiplantae; Streptophyta; Magnoliopsida; Solanales; Solanaceae
Exons: 4
Source: RefSeq, a predicted model, not a curated record